This 292-nucleotide ribosomal RNA is filed under the name uncultured bacterium. RNAcentral's name for it is "partial 16S ribosomal RNA". It matches the Rfam family "Bacterial small subunit ribosomal RNA", at positions 505 to 796 of the family's 1533-position model. The record is from RNAcentral.
GUGUCAGCCGCCGCGGUAAUACAGAGGGUGCGAGCGUUAAUCGGAAUUACUGGGCGUAAAGCGUGCGUAGACGGUUGUUUAAGUCAGAUGUGAAAGCCCCGGGCUCAACCUGGGAAUUGCAUUUGAGACUGAAUAGCUAGGGUGCGGAAGAGGGAAGCGGAAUUUCCGGUGUAGCAGUGAAAUGCGUAGAUAUCGGAAGGAACAUCAGUGGCGAAAGCGGCUUCCUGGUCCAGCACCGACGUUCAGGCACGAAAGCGUGGGGAGCAAACAGGAUUAGAUACCCUGGUAGUCC